GCCAGAAAGAAAGCACCCGGCUUAAAUUCCGUGCCCAGCAAGCCCGCGGUAAUACGGAGGGGUGGGGAGCGUUUAAUUGGGAAUUACUUGGGGCGUAAAAGCGCCAUGCAAGGUGGUUUUGUUAAGUCAGAAUGUGAAAGCCCCGGGGCUCAACCUUCGGAAUUGCAUUUUGAAACUGGCAAAACUAGAGUACUGUAGAGGGGGGGUAGAAUUUUCAGGUGUAGCGGUGAAAUGCGUAGAGAUCUGAAGGAAUACCGGUGGCGAAGGCGGCCCCCUGGACAGAUACUGACACUCAGAUGCGAAAGCGUGGGGAGCAAACAGGAUUAGAUACCCUGGUAGUCCACGCCGUAAACGAUGUCUACUUGGAGGUUGUGGCCUUGAGCCGUGGCUUUCGGAGCUAACGCGUUAAGUAGACCGCCUGGGGAGUACGGUCGCAAGAUUAAAACUCAAAUGAAUUGACGGGGGCCCGCACAAGCGGUGGAGCAUGUGGUUUAAUUCGAUGCAACGCGAAGAACCUUACCUACUCUUGACAUCUACAGAAGCCAGCGGAGACGCAGGUGUGCCUUCGGGAACUGUAAGACAGGUGCUGCAUGGCUGUCGUCAGCUCGUGUUGUGAAAUGUUGGGUUAAGUCCCGCAACGAGCGCAACCCUUAUCCUUGUUUGCCAGCACUUCGGGUGGGAACUCCAGGGAGACUGCCGGUGAUAAACCGGAGGAAGGUGGGGACGACGUCAAGUCAUCAUGGCCCUUACGAGUAGGGCUACACACGUGCUACAAUGGCGCAUACAGAGGGCGGCCAACUUGCGAAAGUGAGCGAAUCCCAAAAAGUGCGUCGUAGUCCGGAUUGGAGUCUGCAACUCGACUCCAUGAAGUCGGAAUCGCUAGUAAUCGUGGAUCAGAAUGCCACGGUGAAUACGUUCCCGGGCCUUGUACACACCGCCCGUCACACCAUGGGAGUGGGCUGCAAAAGAAGUGGGUAGUUUAACCUUCGGGAGGACGCUCACCACUUUGUGGUUCAUGACUGGGGUGAAGUCGUAACAAGGUAACCG
RNAcentral lists this ribosomal RNA (1047 nucleotides) under uncultured bacterium. Its description in RNAcentral is "bacterial SSU rRNA". It matches the Rfam family "Bacterial small subunit ribosomal RNA", at positions 477 to 1502 of the family's 1533-position model. The record is from RNAcentral.